RNAcentral lists this small RNA (57 nucleotides) under Prauserella rugosa. Its description in RNAcentral is "F6 TB sRNA". It matches the Rfam family "F6 TB sRNA". RNAcentral also lists the same sequence under 1 other name. Lineage: Bacteria; Bacillati; Actinomycetota; Actinomycetes; Pseudonocardiales; Pseudonocardiaceae. The record is from RNAcentral.
CUCAUGACCCCGCGAUGCUGGCGGACCCCCGACCUGGCAGCAUCGCGGGGUUUCCAU